GAGGGGUGGCAGAGUGGUUGAAUGCGGCGGUCUCGAAAACCGUUUAGCGGGUGUUCCCCGCUACGAGGGUUCGAAUCCCUCCUCCUCC
This 88-nucleotide transfer RNA is filed under the name bovine gut metagenome. It matches the Rfam family "tRNA". Rfam says of the family: Transfer RNA (tRNA) molecules are approximately 80 nucleotides in length. Their secondary structure includes four short double-helical elements and three loops (D, anti-codon, and T loops). The record is from RNAcentral.